CGAUUCCAACUUCAUGGACUCGGGUUGCAGACUCCAAUCCGAACUGAGACUGUCUUUCAGAGAUUCGCUUCAUGUCGCCAUGUCGCUGCUCGUUGUAACAGCCAUUGUAGUACGUGUGUAGCCCAGGCCAUAAGGGGCAUGAUGAUUUGACGUCAUCCCCACCUUCCUCCGGUUUAUCACCGGCAGUCUCUCCAGAGUCCCUAACUUAAUAUUGGUAACUGAAGACAAGGGUUGCGCUCGUUGCGGGACUUAACCCAACAUCUCACGACACGAGCUGACGACAACCAUGCACCACCUGUCACCUUGAUAACCUCUAUCCUAUCUCUAAGACUUUGCAAGGGAUGUCAAGGCCUGGUAAGGUUCUUCGCGUUGCGUCGAAUUAAACCACAUACUCCACCGCUUGUGCGGGCCCCCGUCAAUUCCUUUAUGUUUCACACUUGCGUGCAUACUCCACAGGCGGAAUGCUUAUCGCGUUAGUUACGGCACCGAGUCACCCCGAUACCCAGCAUUCAUCG
This 515-nucleotide ribosomal RNA is filed under the name uncultured bacterium. RNAcentral's name for it is "partial 16S ribosomal RNA". The record is from RNAcentral.